This 679-nucleotide long non-coding RNA is filed under the name Oryza sativa (Asian cultivated rice). RNAcentral's name for it is "long non-coding RNA (OSAT_LNC000274)". Lineage: Eukaryota; Viridiplantae; Streptophyta; Magnoliopsida; Poales; Poaceae. The record is from RNAcentral.
UCUUAAGUUAUCGGCUGAAGGUACGUCUGUUGAAUUUAGACAGUUGCAUGCUAAACAUCCAGACAUUCAUUGUUCAUACUUUCCUGUGUUGCGCUGGUCCAAUUUGAUUGUUCAUAGACAUGUUGGAUACCUGAAGCUGUUCAUAGACAUGUUGGAUACCUGAAGCUGUGAAUUUGAACUCUCUGUUUGGCAUAUUCCCCACCUCUCUGCUAUGCCUUUAUUGUAAUGUACUGUAGCAUUUUUAUGGGCAACCUGCCAUUAGCGUGUAACACCAGAGUGGGUGAUAAACUGAAGUGCCAUGUUCUUAUAUCCCGUUUAAAUAUGAUAUGUUUUAGUUGAUUGUGGUGUGUUCAUUAAUGGACAAUCCACAAUUGUGAGUACUGAGUAGUGUCAAGGAUGAACUUCCAUUGUGAUAUGCGGUUCUCUAGCCUCAGUAUUUAUUUGAAGUUACUGUGCAUGCUUCUACUUCAUGCUCCUAUAGCAAGUUAUCAAGCUGGGUGGUUCCAUUUUCAAUUGGCCUAUGACAUGACACAUGUACUAUAUUUGGUUCCUUCUAGGAUAUGUCCAAGCUUGAUUGCCAACUUAUGUUUGCCAUGUCUUCAUGAACUAUGCCUCUUUCAUGAAUUAAAUUUCUCCAAAAAAUGCCUGCUAAAUGUCAGCUUGCAAUCUUGGACAGGUG